This 466-nucleotide ribosomal RNA is filed under the name uncultured bacterium. RNAcentral describes it as "partial 16S ribosomal RNA". It matches the Rfam family "Bacterial small subunit ribosomal RNA", at positions 28 to 507 of the family's 1533-position model. The record is from RNAcentral.
GACGAACGCUGGCGGCGCGCCUAACACAUGCAAGUCGAACGAGCGAGAGAGAGCUUGCUUUCUCGAGCGAGUGGCGAACGGGUGAGUAACGCGUGAGGAACCUGCCUCAAAGAGGGGGACAACAGUUGGAAACGACUGCUAAUACCGCAUAAGCCCACGGUGCCGCAUGGCACAGAGGGAAAAGGAGCAAUCCGCUUUGAGAUGGCCUCGCGUCCGAUUAGCUAGUUGGUGAGGUAAUGGCCCACCAAGGCGACGAUCGGUAGCCGGACUGGGAGGUUGAACGGCCACAUUGGGACUGAGACACGGCCCAGACUCCUACGGGAGGCAGCAGUGGGGAAUAUUGCACAAUGGGGGAAACCCUGAUGCAGCGACGCCGCGUGGAGGAAGAAGGUCUUCGGAUUGUAAACUCCUGUUGUUGGGGAAGAUAAUGACGGUACCCAACAAGGAAGUGACGGCUAACUACGUG